CAGCAGCAACCUGGAAUAGUAUCUGGCAGAGCAGUGUGAGGACACCACAGCCCUGAAGCAUCAGAGAUCUCCAGAAGCUCUGUCUUGAGUUCGCCACAUUUUGGGAGGACUUCAGGUAUAGUCAGAUCGGGGCCGUAGUACCUGUGCACCACUUCUGCCCCAGCCAGCUGCGACCAUUUUCAGCUCAGUUCUAACGCAGACCUUAAAGGAUAUAACCAGACAGUCGAAAAGGGCAACAGCUGGGGAUAAGAAGAAUUCACAGGUAUGAAAUGGCCAAUCUGUUGCUAUCAUUGUUGCUGCUACAGCUGAUCUGAUAGCAGACACCCACUGUUCUGUUCCCAGGAAGGGGGCAAGAUACCAGCUGCCUUUUGAGAGGCCCCAUAGCAUAGAAAUAAGGUGAGAAAUAGGAUAAGGCAUUCUAGCAUAGAAAAGAAGAUCAACAUGUGCUGGGCCCAUCCUAGACUCAAGCUCACCAGGGAGCCAUAAGCUCAUGGCUUGUGGGUGGGUAAAAUACUGUCUUUUCUAGAAAAGAGUUCCAAAAAUGUACUAGCU
This 552-nucleotide long non-coding RNA is filed under the name Phascolarctos cinereus (koala). Its description in RNAcentral is "lncRNA (ENSPCIG00000012877.2)". Lineage: Eukaryota; Metazoa; Chordata; Mammalia; Diprotodontia; Phascolarctidae. The record is from RNAcentral.